Molecule: non-coding RNA, 3817 nt
Organism: Nerophis lumbriciformis (worm pipefish)
Lineage: Eukaryota; Metazoa; Chordata; Actinopteri; Syngnathiformes; Syngnathidae
Source: RefSeq, a predicted model, not a curated record
AGCGCUUUGAGUACCUUGUAGGUAGAAAAGCGCUAUACAAGUACAACCCAUUUAUUUAUUUAUUUAUCUUUUGUAGGCUUCCAGUCCACCCACUUGUUAUUAGUGUUCUUACAUUUCCUAUUAACGGCCUUAAUCCAUCUUAUUUUCAUGUCUGGAUCUUUCAUGUAUAACUUUCUCCGACUUUCUAGGACGUGUUUUAUGCCACUUCUUUUUCUGUCUCCUUUUGUCCACCAAACUUUUAACGUUGUGCGUGAAUGCACAAAGGUGGGUUUUGUUAAUGUUGACUUGUGUGGAGUGCUCAUCAGACAUAUUUGGUCACUGCAUUAAUGCAAGCUAAUCGAUGCUAACAUGCUAUUUAGGCUAGCUAUAUGUACAUAUUGCAUCAUUAUGCCUCAUUAGUAGGUAUAUUUGAGGUCAUUUAGUUUCCUUUAAGUCCUCUUAAUUCAAUGUAUAUCUCAUGACACACUAUCUGUAUGUAAUAUGGCUUUUCAUUUUUUGCGGCUCCAGACAGAUUUGUUUUUGUAUUUGCCCCCCGCGACCCCGAAGGGAAUAAGCGGUAGAAAAUGGAUGGAUGAAUGGAUGGAUUUUUGGUCCAAUAUGGCUCUUUCAACAUUUUGGGUUGCCGACCCCUGGACUAGACGUAUAAGAUUUCAUGGAAUUUAACGAUUAAGAGUGACAGAUUGUUUGGUAAACGUAUAGCAUGUUCUAUAUGUUAUAGUUAUUUGAAUGACUCUUACCUUAAUAUGUUACAUUAACAUACCAGGCACGUUCGCAGUGGGGUUUUUUAUGCGUCAUAUAAUGUACACUUAUUAAGCCUGUUCACUAUUCUUUAUUUAUUUUAAAUUGCCUUUCAAAUGUCUAUUCUUGGUGUUGGGUUUUAUCAAAAAAAAUUCCCCAAAAAAUGCGACUUAUAUGUUUUUUUCCCUCUUUAUUAUGCAUUUUCGGCCGGUGCGACUUAUACUCCGGAGCGUUUUAUACUCCGAAAAAUGCUGUAAAAGAACAUCCCAACACAUCAUCAAGGUUUUAUAUACACGCUGUAAGUAUAUAUGUAAUGUAGUAAUGGGCACAAUAAAAAUAACAUGUAAUAUUUACGUAUUUUGCUCAUUUUAAGCAUACAGCGGUGCAUUAACUUCAAAAACGCAUCUGUGACAGUUUGACCCCAUACUGUCACUGUUUGACCUUUGGACUUCCUCACAAACUGUGCACAUUUGUUGGGAAGCUCAACAUGGACACAAACAUUCAAUCUUGUUAGCCAGUGAAAAGCAUGUGCUUAACAAACAAAUUGUUACCUGUCACUCACCAUGGCUCUGAACAAUUGACCAAAAGAGUCAGGGUGGGGUUGAGGUCUUUAUAUAGGUGACCACACCUGCAUUCACUAAUUAGGCCAAAUUUGGGUCGAACCAUGAUCCUCAAAAGCUGGGUGUUACAGAAGGACACUGGACAUUUAAAAGUUGUGUUGUCUAAGCCUGAAUAUACUGUGUUCAAAAAAAUUACUGCUCUACACAUGCAAAAGUACUAUGUCAAUACUUUUUAGACAUGUGAUGGUUAUUUAUGGUGUAAUUUACAAAAUAACUGUUUUCUUAAUUCCCCCUGUCAAAUUGGUCCCAGCUAGUGGGCGGGGCUAAGGGCUAUUUAAGUUGGAAAAUGCCGUUUUUCUGACAGUCUGCUGUCGGUCACUGCCAGAGGAGGAUCUCUGUCCUGAGCAAGAGUUUCGGUCUCCAUGCAUCAAACAUCUACUGAGUUCUAAACUGGAUGCCAAAUUUGACCAACUCACCAGAAUAUGUCUUCAUCCUAUCAAGUCCUCUCGGAGGUCGAGACGAAUAGGAGACCCCUCUGACCCCGGCCGCAUGAGCGAGACCGUGGAGGUGAUGGACGUGAUCGCCCUUUGCUGCCCCAAGUACAAGGAGCGGCCUCAAAUAGCGCGCGUGGUCCAGAAAACCCCCAGCGGCUACACCAUCCACUGGAUGGCCGGCUCCUACUCGGGGCCCUGGGCGGAGGCCAAGAAGCGGGAAGGACGCAGACUGGUGCCUUGGGUGGACACUAUCAAGGAGUCGGACAUCCUUUACAAGAAGCUCGCCUUGACCAGCAACCACAAACUGAGCAACAAAAUAGGCCAGACUUUACGCUCACUGUAUGCAGCGCGGGAGGGAGGAGCUAGCUAAUGGCUCCUGUGCUUUUUUUUGUUGGUUUUCUUUUUGUCCCCGCUCCCAUUUUUACAUGAUGAAAGUCCUCUUUCUCCUCCUCCUCCACCUCAAGAGGCAGCCUCCAACCACACAGCCAAACGUCACUGGAUUCACACGCCCUCCCUAAUUUUUUUAUAAGAAAACACAAGAGGGCGUGACUAUUUGACACUACAUACUUUUACAUGAGCUAUUCUUUCAAGAAAACGACUGAUUAUAUUCGAGGGACGGCUCAUGUUUGUCUAUGUACACGUGCAGAGGAUAGGAUCCAGGAGGCAUUCAAGAAAUAGUUGGCUGAAAUGAUCUCUUCAAAGGCUACCAGAGGAGAACCUGGAGGGAAAUGUUUUGUCAACAUUGUCAUGGAAGCUCCUUCGCUGUUGUGCAGCCAAUUCUAGACGCUCAUUUCUACUCCCACUGUAUUAUAAUGAUAAAUGGGUUGUACUUGUAUAGCGCUUUUCUACCUUCAAGGUACUCAAAGCGCUUUGACACUACUUCCACAUUUACCCAUUCACACACACAUUCACACACUGAUGGAGGGAGCUGCCAUGCAAGGCGCUAACCAGCAGCCAUCAGGAGCAAGGGUGAAGUGUCUUGCUCAGGACACAACGGACAUGACGAGGUUGGUACUAGGUGGGGAUUGAACCAGGGACCCUCGGGUCGCGCACGGCCACUCUUCCACUGCGCCACGCCGUCCCCCCUAUUAUAGUUUAACACAACAAAAACUAAAAAUGUUUAUCAGAAUCAGAAUCAGCUUUAUUGUCAUUACGCAAGGUAACGAGAUUGAGGCCAUUCCAUACAGUGCGAUGUGUGCAUGCUAGAAAAACAAUGUGCAAAUAUAUAAAAAUAUAAAAAAUGUAGAAGUGCAAUGAAUAUGGUGUGAAAUGAAUAUAUACAUGAAAAAACAAAAACAAAAACAGGUUGGUUGGUGGAAUGGGUUAUUGCACCGAAGAGAAGGCAGUUAUGAGGGACAAUGGGGCAGUCCGUUCAGGAUGGUUAUGGCCCUGGGGAAGAAGCUGUUCUUUAGCCUGUUUGUUUUGGUUUUAAUGCACCUGUAGCGCUUCCCAGAGGGCAGCAGGUGGAACAGGUCAGAGCCAGGGUGGGUGCUGUCCUUGAUGAUGGCACUGGCUCUGUUGAGGCAGCGGGAGGUGUAGAUGUCCGUCAGAGAGGGGAGAGGGCGGCCGAUGAUCUUCUGUCUAUCUUAUAUCUCUGAAGACAAAAAAACUGUAAAAAAAAAAGAAUAAAACCUUAAGUGAAUGUUGGAAAUUAGUCUUUUUGAUGUUCUUAUUAAAGUGUUUUUUUGAAUUUAUGAUACUACUAGCACCUAAUGUUUUUUUUUUUUUUCAUUUUAGCUUUUAGAUAUUUGAAAGAAAACAAAACAAAAAGAGAAAAAAAAAAACAAGGAUUUUUAUUUUUGUUCCAUUUUUAUUUGUCCAUGCUGUACAAUGGCAAGAGUCCUCUGAAUAUAAUUUAUUCUAUUUCAAACUACGCAUGCAGUAUAUGUGGCCUAUUGCAGGAGGAUAUUUUGUAAAUGUAGAUUUUGUUGUAUUAGGUCACCUUAGUAAUAAGAGGAAAAGGGGAUUCAUAACCUUUUUUUGGUGAAACAAAUACUGCAAUAAAUUUUCUACUUCUCUUUGUCA